This 674-nucleotide long non-coding RNA is filed under the name Monodelphis domestica (gray short-tailed opossum). Its description in RNAcentral is "lncRNA (ENSMODG00000030159.2)". Lineage: Eukaryota; Metazoa; Chordata; Mammalia; Didelphimorphia; Didelphidae. The record is from RNAcentral.
AGAAAAAAGAACAUAGAAUGUUAGCCUACAGAAAGGUCUUGAAUGACAGAAUUCUAGAAUGUAGAAUAUUAGAACUAGAAGAAGCCUGGGAGAUCACUUUGUUCAAACCCCUCAUCUAACUCAAGAAUAGACUGAGGCCAGGAGAGGGAAAGUUUGCCCAAGGGCACAUAGUUAAGUCACUGAUGGAAUUAGGCAGAUGAAGCUAUUUGGACUUAUUUCAAUUCAAUUAAGAAGCACUGCAGGUCUUUGGUCAGAGCCAGCAGAUUCUGUUCUACUAGUGCCUGGGGAACAGGCCUCUUUCCAGUUACAUACUUGGGGCUCUGAGCUUCAGCUCUCAACACAUUCAGCCCUUGAAACUCCAAGGCCCAAGGUCGGUUAAAGGUGGGGAGAACCAGGCUUGGCCAGCCCUGCAAAAAUGAGGAAAUCAGCCAAUUUUGUCUUCAAGGCCUCCAGCUUCCUCUGCCUGGAAUCUCAGAAUCUGAUGCAGAUGGAGGAGAGAAGUAUCUCAAAGACCUUCCAGAGCCAGCUCCAACUGACUGCUUUGCUCAUAGCAUCUGCUGUUGCUAGGUACCAUUUCCUGAAGAUCUAUAACUUGCCUUGGUGCAGAAGACAAACAGAGGAAUAGGGCAGUUUUUGACCUCAUAGUUUAUUUUGGAGAACUAGCAAUACAUACC